AUAAAGACAAAGAAAGGAAGUAGUAAGUUGUAUGUCAAUUGUAGAGAGCUAUCGUUUGGUGAAAGAUAGUAUUGAUGAAAACUGAACUCGUCCUUGAGUUACUAAGAUGAAUAAAGUAAUCUUAGUCGGUUAAAUGCCGUUAUAUUUUGAGUGGAUAGCAAUAUCAACAAGAGUGGUACCGCGGAAUUUUACCUUUCGUCUCUAUU
This 206-nucleotide non-coding RNA is filed under the name Tissierella praeacuta. RNAcentral describes it as "T-box sequence". It matches the Rfam family "T-box leader". From Rfam's summary of the family: Uncharged tRNA acts as the effector for transcription antitermination of genes in the T-box leader family. The record is from RNAcentral. Lineage: Bacteria; Bacillati; Bacillota; Tissierellia; Tissierellales; Tissierellaceae.